GACGUUGUUUCGACCGUUGGAGGAGAACGGAGAAACAGGUUAGGAAUAAUUUUAAAAGCGGGUGCAAUUUUCCGAGGUUUUAAGCGAUAAAUAAUCGAGAAUCUCGGCGUAUCGCCGCAUCCUGCGUUCGCACUCGGUAAAUCCGGGGUACAACAACCCCUUUCACGAUCCAAUUUCCCCGGGUUUGCUUCCCGCUUUCUUGUUUUUCCGGCCGCCGCUCGAAUUUCCAGCCAAAAAUCCGGCGAGGAAACACGCUCGCGGCCCGACUCGGGCAGGAAAUCGUGUGGGGGGAGGACGAUAUCGGGAUUUAUCAGAGCCCGGUGGAAGAACGUGGAAGAAACGUGACCGCGCUGGUGCUCCAUUAGGAUUGGAGGAAAAUUGUGGGAUCGAUCGGGGAUAAAAGGCGAUAAAAGCUCGCGUUUCCAAAGUUGCGAGAAUAUAAAUAGCGAAGAAUCGAGAUAACUUCGAAUCCGAGAAAGAAGAAGAGAAUAUAAAACGAAGAAGGUUUAAAGAGAGGCAAAUAAACGCGGUGCACGAAACUUGGCCAUUUUUCCAACUUGGGGCUUUUGUCGUUAAAAUCGUACCCUACGUAACAAGGUAAUCGAGAAAAGGGAACUCAUUUUUUUCCUUUCUUUGCGUAGAAAAAUUUCGCACAAUGCAAGAAGAAACAAACGUUGAUGAAAGAUGAAAAUUCACGAUCUGCAAAAGUGCGGCGGUAACGAGCUAUCGUUUAAAAGAAAUUACGAAGGAAGCCGAGCGUGUCGGGAAAAGAUGGUAGAAAACACAAAAGGAAGCAGAAGUUUGCGCAUCCAGGGACGAUAAUAAUAUAGGAUAUAGGAAUAUUACAAGGUAAUUCGCAAUCCCGCCAGCACAAUUACCUACUAACGAUUGCUAAUUUUCCUUGAACCAAUUAGAAUUCCCCUUCCUCGUUUUACCAGCUAAUGUAACUCAACUGCUCGUCCGCGGGCGGAAGACCAAGUAGAUCAAAGUAAUUUCGGAUGGGUUUCGCGACUUCGUGGUUGAGACGGUUGUUCGAACUCCGAAGAUUGGCCUCGGUAUAAUCGGGAAACGUCGAUCAGAGUGGCGUGCGAAUUAAAAGUUGGAUGGGACGGCGACGGCAGUUCCCCUUUCGAACGAUCUCUACUACUAGAAUAUCGAAUCCCCCCCGUUCCACGGAUACGGUGGAAGUCGUAAAAGGAAGAGGACACGGGAAUAUUUGGCGUGUCGUCGCAAGAUUUUACACAAGUGACGACUCACUCGGAUGGAUCCUUUGUUGACGAAACUGCGGUAAUGAAAGAGAGUCGAAUCCAACGGAAAUACAACGUUUUUUCGUUGCACAACACACGCGCGGUACACGCACGAGAAGCAAGAAAAACUCGAUGACGAAGAUGGAUGCGUUUCGAACUAAACUGUACAAGUACCGUUGCCCAAUAGAAGUUGGCCGAUCGAUUUUCGAUUAUCCUCGCCACGUACACGUGGAACAAGAGACAGGAAAUUUUAAAACAGAGCCACUGCGUUAAAGCGGUAUUUGCUCCAUUCAGAUUGAUAAAACGGUUCGGAGAUGAGUGACUUCCGGUCAACGAGUGAACGAUCGUUGGAAGCGCGGAACUUUGCCCUUUAAAACGUUUCUUGAUUUAUCUCGAUACGACUUCCUGUUCCCGAGAUAUCAUCGUGUGAAGAAAACGGAUCGCUCGACUUCCUGCGACCAGUCUACAAUUUCACCAAGCGUCGCGAAAUCCACGCACGUGGGUCGGACACUGCAUUCUCGAGCACUGUGGGGAUCGAUAAAUUUUCCAGUGGCGCUGCCGAGUCAAAGUCUACUCGUGUUUGUAAACGUUGCAACGUUGUUACAAAGAGAAAAUUCCAGAGAUGUAGAAAAUUUCCUCUCCCCUCCACGCGUUGACAUUCUUCGUAGUUAACAUUUUCCUUUCCUCCACUCGCCUUUUCCCUCCUAAAGGAGAAGCACGCCAAGAGGAUCGAUUUUCGAGAGAAUCGAGUAUGAAUCCGUGAUCGUGGAAAAAAAGAAAAGGGGAGAGCAUACACAAAAGAGGGGGCGAUAAGCGAAAUGCUCGUCUCGAAUUUUGCAGCGUUGCAAACCUACGUUCAAUGGGACGAGAAACCGCAUAAGAGAGGGGGGUUCAACGUUGAUGUUUAAUGGAAGGAACGUCACGGGGCGGAGGAAUGCCCUUCGAAAAUAGUAACAGCCGAGCGGGGAACAAAUAGCGAUCUCGAAUGGAACGGACACCUUACAAAGGACUUGCGAUUUAGUCGAAAGCGCGCGGUGACAAAUUUUGCGAAAAGGUUAUUCUUCCCUUUUCGUGCGGCACUGGUUGAAAGCUGAGCGCAGCAUUUCGCUUUAUCGAAUUAAGUUCCGAUACUAAUACGAAUUUUCACUACAAAAUAAAAUAUUAGACCGCGUUGUAAAUAACUUCGAAUGUUCGUGACCGUGCAAUUUUACAAUUAGAUGGAAUCCUUGUUGUUUGUGCCAAAAGUGCCAAGAUCCGUGUCUUUUGAUCCGAUAUCGCUCUUCUCGUGUUUUUAAAAUAUUUCUAUAAGAAAAAAAUAUUAUUAAACUCCGUUUGGAAGAGAAAGAGCGGAAUAAAUUACGGAUUAAAAAUGAGCACAACAUUCUCCUGUUGAAGGAUAGGCUUUUAAAAAAACGACUCUGUCAGUUACGAGAAUAUACGAGUAAUGAAAUAUA
Long non-coding RNA from Apis cerana (Asiatic honeybee), 2701 nucleotides. RefSeq lists it as uncharacterized. NCBI's taxonomy places the organism in Eukaryota, Metazoa, Arthropoda, Insecta, Hymenoptera, Apidae. The record is from RefSeq and is a predicted model, not a curated record.